This 467-nucleotide ribosomal RNA is filed under the name uncultured bacterium. RNAcentral's name for it is "partial 16S ribosomal RNA". It matches the Rfam family "Bacterial small subunit ribosomal RNA", at positions 28 to 507 of the family's 1533-position model. The record is from RNAcentral.
GAUGAACGCUGGCGGCGCGCCUAACACAUGCAAGUCGAACGAUUAAAGCACCUUCGGGUGUGUAUAAAGUGGCGAACGGCUGAGUAACACGUGGGCAACCUGCCCCUCUCAUUGGGAUAGCCACGGGAAACCGUGGAUAAUACCGAAUACUUCGGGACUUCCGCAUGGAAGACUCGAGAAAGCUCCGGCGGAGAGGGAUGGGCCCGCGGCCUGUUAGCUUGUUGGUGGGGUAAUGGCCUACCAAGGCAAUGAAGGGUAGCUGGGUAGAGAGGCCGACCAGCCAGUUUGGGACUGGGACACCGCCCAGUCUCCUACGGGAGGCAGAAGUGGGGAAUCUUGCCCAAUGGGCGACAGCCUGAUGCAGCGACGCCGCGUGCGGGAUGAAGGCCUUCGGGUUGUAAACCGCUUUCAGCAGGGACGAGGCGAAAGUGACGGUACCUGCAGAAGAAGCCCCGGCUAACUACGUG